AUACAUGCAAGUCGAACGAACUCUGGUAUUGAUUGGUGCUUGCAUCAUGAUUUACAUUUGAGUGAGUGGCGAACUGGUGAGUAACACGUGGGAAACCUGCCCAGAAGCGGGGGAUAACACCUGGAAACAGAUGCUAAUACCGCAUAACAACUUGGACCGCAUGGUCCNAGUUUGAAAGAUGGCUUCGGCUAUCACUUUUGGAUGGUCCCGCGGCGUAUUAGCUAGAUGGUGGGGUAACGGCUCACCAUGGCAAUGAUACGUAGCCGACCUGAGAGGGUAAUCGGCCACAUUGGGACUGAGACACGGCCCAAACUCCUACGGGAGGCAGCAGUAGGGAAUCUUCCACAAUGGACGAAAGUCUGAUGGAGCAACGCCGCGUGAGUGAAGAAGGGUUUCGGCUCGUAAAACUCUGUUGUUAAAGAAGAACAUAUCUGAGAGUAACUGNUCAGGUAUUGACGGUAUUUAACCAGAAAGCCACGGCUAACUACGUGCCAGCAGCCGCGGUAAUACGUAGGUGGCAAGCGUUGUCCGGAUUUAUUGGGCGUAAAGCGAGCGCAGGCGGUUUUUUAAGUCUGAUGUGAAAGCCUUCGGCUCAACCGAAGAAGUGCAUCGGAAACUGGGAAACUUGAGUGCAGAAGAGGACAGUGGAACUCCAUGUGUAGCGGUGAAAUGCGUAGAUAUAUGGAAGAACACCAGUGGCGAAGGCGGCUGUCUGGUCUGUAACUGACGCUGAGGCUCGAAAGUAUGGGUAGCAAACAGGAUUAGAUACCCUGGUAGUCCAUACCGUAAACGAUGAAUGCUAAGUGUUGGAGGGUUUCCGCCCUUCAGUGCUGCAGCUAACGCAUUAAGCAUUCCGCCUGGGGAGUACGGCCGCAAGGCUGAAACUCAAAGGAAUUGACGGGGGCCCGCACAAGCGGUGGAGCAUGUGGUUUAAUUCGAAGCUACGCGAAGAACCUUACCAGGUCUUGACAUACUAUGCAAAUCUAAGAGAUUAGACGUUCCCUUCGGGGACAUGGAUACAGGUGGUGCAUGGUUGUCGUCAGCUCGUGUCGUGAGAUGUUGGGUUAAGUCCCGCAACGAGCGCAACCCUUAUUAUCAGUUGCCAGCAUUAAGUUGGGCACUCUGGUGAGACUGCCGGUGACAAACCGGAGGAAGGUGGGGAUGACGUCAAAUCAUCAUGCCCCUUAUGACCUGGGCUACACACGUGCUACAAUGGAUGGUACAACGAGUUGCGAACUCGCGAGAGUAAGCUAAUCUCUUAAAGCCAUUCUCAGUUCGGAUUGUAGGCUGCAACUCGCCUACAUGAAGUCGGAAUCGCUAGUAAUCGCGGAUCAGCAUGCCGCGGUGAAUACGUUCCCGGGCCUUGUACACACCGCCCGUCACACCAUGAGAGUUUGUAACACCCAAAGUCGGUGGGGUAACCUUUUAGGAACCAGCCGCCUAAG
Molecule: ribosomal RNA, 1445 nt
Filed under: Lactiplantibacillus plantarum
Lineage: Bacteria; Bacillati; Bacillota; Bacilli; Lactobacillales; Lactobacillaceae
Description: Lactobacillus plantarum 16S ribosomal RNA
Rfam family: Bacterial small subunit ribosomal RNA
Source: RNAcentral